RNAcentral lists this ribosomal RNA (500 nucleotides) under Vibrio gigantis. RNAcentral's name for it is "bacterial SSU rRNA". It matches the Rfam family "Bacterial small subunit ribosomal RNA", at positions 102 to 598 of the family's 1533-position model. Lineage: Bacteria; Pseudomonadati; Pseudomonadota; Gammaproteobacteria; Vibrionales; Vibrionaceae. The record is from RNAcentral.
ACGGGUGAGUAAUGCCUAGGAAAUUGCCUUGAUGUGGGGGAUAACCAUUGGAAACGAUGGCUAAUACCGCAUAAUGCCUACGGGCCAAAGAGGGGGACCUUCGGGCCUCUCGCGUCAAGAUAUGCCUAGGUGGGAUUAGCUAGUUGGUGAGGUAAUGGCUCACCAAGGCGACGAUCCCUAGCUGGUCUGAGAGGAUGAUCAGCCACACUGGAACUGAGACACGGUCCAGACUCCUACGGGAGGCAGCAGUGGGGAAUAUUGCACAAUGGGCGAAAGCCUGAUGCAGCCAUGCCGCGUGUAUGAAGAAGGCCUUCGGGUUGUAAAGUACUUUCAGUUGUGAGGAAGGGGGUGGAGUUAAUAGCUGUAUCUCUUGACGUUAGCAACAGAAGAAGCACCGGCUAACUCCGUGCCAGCAGCCGCGGUAAUACGGAGGGUGCGAGCGUUAAUCGGAAUUACUGGGCGUAAAGCGCAUGCAGGUGGUUCAUUAAGUCAGAUGUGAA